This 492-nucleotide ribosomal RNA is filed under the name uncultured bacterium. RNAcentral's name for it is "partial 16S ribosomal RNA". It matches the Rfam family "Bacterial small subunit ribosomal RNA", at positions 29 to 507 of the family's 1533-position model. The record is from RNAcentral.
AGUGAACGCUGGCGGUAGGCCUAACACAUGCGAGUCGAACGGCAGCACAGUAAGAGCUUGCUCUUACGGGUAGCGAGUGGCGGACGGGUGAGGAAUACAUCGGAAUCUACUUUUUCGUGGGGGAUAACGUAGGGAAACUUACGCUAAUACCGCAUACGACCUACGGGUGAAAGCAGGGGAUCUUCGGACCUUGCGCGAUUGAAUGAGCCGAUGUCGGAUUAGCUAGUUGGCGGGGUAAAGGCCCACCAAGGCGACGAUCCGUAGCUGGUCUGAGAGGAUGAUCAGCCACACUGGAACUGAGACACGGUCCAGACUCCUACGGGAGGCAGCAGUGGGGAAUAUUGGACAAUGGGCGCAAGCCUGAUCCAGCCAUACCGCGUGGGUGAAGAAGGCCUUCGGGUUGUAAAGCCCUUUUGUUGGGAAAGAAAAGCAGCAGGUUAAUACCCCGCUGUUCUGACGGUACCCAAAGAAUAAGCACCGGCUAACUUCGUG